This 253-nucleotide ribosomal RNA is filed under the name uncultured bacterium. RNAcentral describes it as "partial 16S ribosomal RNA". It matches the Rfam family "Bacterial small subunit ribosomal RNA", at positions 524 to 776 of the family's 1533-position model. The record is from RNAcentral.
UACGAAGGGGGCGAGCGUUGUUCGGAUUUACUGGGCGUAAAGGGCGCGUAGGCGGCUUUGCGUGUCUUUCGUGAAAUCCCUCGGCUCAACUGAGGACGUGCGGAAGAAACUGCAGGGCUGGAGUCCGGGAGAGGAGGGUGGAAUUCCCAGUGUAGCGGUGAAAUGCGUAGAUAUUGGGAGGAACACCGGUGGCGAAGGCGGCCCUCUGGACCGGUACUGACGCUGAUGCGCGAAAGCGUGGGGAGCAAACGGG